RNAcentral lists this ribosomal RNA (483 nucleotides) under uncultured bacterium. RNAcentral describes it as "partial 16S ribosomal RNA". It matches the Rfam family "Bacterial small subunit ribosomal RNA", at positions 30 to 506 of the family's 1533-position model. The record is from RNAcentral.
AUUGAACGCUGGCGGCAGGCCUAACACAUGCAAGUCGAGCGGAUGAAGGGAGCUUGCUCCUGGAUUCAGCGGCGGACGGGUGAGUAAUGCCUAGGAAUCUGCCUGGUAGUGGGGGAUAACGUCCGGAAACGGGCGCUAAUACCGCAUACGUCCUGAGGGAGAAAGUGGGGGAUCUUCGGACCUCACGCUAUCAGAUGAGCCUAGGUCGGAUUAGCUAGUUGGUGGGGUAAAGGCCUACCAAGGCGACGAUCCGUAACUGGUCUGAGAGGAUGAUCAGUCACACUGGACCUGAGACACGGUCCAGACUCCUACGGGAGGCAGCAGUGGGGAAUAUUGGACAAUGGGCGAAAGCCUGAUCCAGCCAUGCCGCGUGUGUGAAGAAGGUCUUCGGAUUGUAAAGCACUUUAAGUUGGGAGGAAGGGCAGUAAGUUAAUACCUUGCUGUUUGGACGUUACCAACAGAAUAAGCACCGGCUAACUUCGU